UUUAUUUUUCUGUGUUCAAGGUUUAACUAUUCGUCUUAUUUAAAAAAAAUUUAUUCUUAUCAGAUGAUAAAACAUAAAUAGUACUUUAUGCGUGACUAAUUUUUUUAAGUAUUUAUAUAAAUUUUUUAAAUAAGACGAAUGGUUAAACGUUGGGAACGCAAAAAC
This 165-nucleotide microRNA precursor is filed under the name Oryza brachyantha (malo sina). RNAcentral describes it as "MIR812 microRNA precursor family". It matches the Rfam family "MIR812 microRNA precursor family", at positions 19 to 190 of the family's 205-position model. Lineage: Eukaryota; Viridiplantae; Streptophyta; Magnoliopsida; Poales; Poaceae. The record is from Rfam by way of RNAcentral.